RNAcentral lists this long non-coding RNA (280 nucleotides) under Cicer arietinum (chickpea). RNAcentral's name for it is "long non-coding RNA (CARI_LNC001287)". The record is from RNAcentral. Lineage: Eukaryota; Viridiplantae; Streptophyta; Magnoliopsida; Fabales; Fabaceae.
GACUCUAUUUAAUUGAGAGCAAAAAAAUAAAACACAUGACUAACCCAAAAAUUAACUUGAAAUAAUCUACUAAAACCAAAUAUCUUUGGAAUUAAAUGCACGAUGAUCUCUAACUCCAAGUGUAAGUCUUCACUAAAGUUGAAAAUGUAGCAUGUAUAUCCUAAUUAAUAUCACGAAAGUCAAUAUUAUCAGCUAAGUAAGCAUAAGCAUCCAAUUUAAAUUGUUUACAAUCAUCAGUUAAUAUAGUCAUCACAUCAAUGAAAGUUGAUCGAAAUCAAAC